Molecule: long non-coding RNA, 448 nt
Organism: Neopsephotus bourkii (Bourke's parrot)
Lineage: Eukaryota; Metazoa; Chordata; Aves; Psittaciformes; Psittacidae
Exons: 3
Source: RefSeq, a predicted model, not a curated record
GGGGUAAGUAACAUGGGGUAGCUUUGUUCUUACUUUCAAAAGCUCAUUACAGGCUGUAGUUUUUUGUUCAUUAGCUGUAACAGCUUUUUAAUGGCUUGCUUGAUCUAAAGUAUAAGCUAAGUCUUUGAAAGAUGGUGACUUGAUGCGGGAAAGAAUAAAGUUGUGGCUUUCUGUGUUUGGCACUCCUACCUCCCUGCUCGCCUGGUGGAUGUGUCUGUCUCAUAUCACCCUUCUGAAGACAGGCAGCUCACUGACUGCAGCCAAACUACAUCAACACAGUUUUUGCUGCAGUCCAUGACAGUGCACACCAUGGGAGAUGGAGAGGAGGACCCCAGCAAACCAGCAAAUGACUUCUGGAUUGCAAGGCUAUAUGUGUUGCUCAACUACAUUCAAAACAUGAUAUGGCCUUGCUGUUUGAUUUUGGUGGGGUUACUCAAAUACCUAAAGA